Molecule: non-coding RNA, 1205 nt
Organism: Salmo salar (Atlantic salmon)
Lineage: Eukaryota; Metazoa; Chordata; Actinopteri; Salmoniformes; Salmonidae
Source: RefSeq, a predicted model, not a curated record
GCGUUGUCCGGGUUAGGGUUUGGACAGGGUAGGCCGUCAUUGUAAAUAAGAACUUGUUCUUAACUGACUUGCCUGGUUAAAUAAAAGCCUAGCUAGACUUGAACCAGGACCGACUAGCUGUGCUUGAGGAGACGAGGAUCUCGUCAUAUUCAUCGUCAACUAAAGCCCAGGUACUGGUUCAAGCUAGGCUCAGCUAUCUACCAGCUGUGUUGGCUUCAUCAUUAACUGACAGCAGCUAGUGAAUUCCCAUUUAUUUCCAGCAAAUAAAGGAAAGCUUUCAAGUUAUUUGUUGCCCACAUGUUCAGUUACUGUGUCAGCAUUGGCAACCUUAACCAGUGAUGGAAUUUUGUGUGAGGUAACUAGUUAACUUAUUCUUUUUAUGUCUUUAUAGACAUAGCUACUGCUUGACUAAGAUUAAUCAAUUCCAUUCUUGUUUUCCUCUUAGCCAGAUUAUAUAGGAUAAACAGUCCUGGAAUGUUCACAGACAUGGACUAUGAGUUGGAUGAGGACAAACUGGGGAUCCCUACAGUCCCUGGGACUAUAUCCCUGAAGAAGGAUGCAUCAGGGGAGGGGCGCAGUACUGUCCCUGUCUUUACAUUGUACAGGUCUUUGACAACACCCCUGCUGCUCUGGAGGGGACUCUGGCGGCUGGCGACGAGAUCACAGGAGUGAACGGCAAAUCUGUGAAGGGCAAGACAAAGGUGGAGGUGGCAAAGAUGAUUCAGGCUGGCCAGGUACAUUAACAGGGCUUGGAAUCAACUUGUCAAUACAUUUUGGUUUGAUACUACAAAAUGCUACAAACCAGUUAGUGUAUUUUCUCUAGAUAUUUUUUUGAUAGCCACACAACCCAAACCAUAUACCAACACUGACAAGAUUAACACUUACCAGUAGAUAAAAAUAGAAAGUCCAAAGCCACAGUAUUUUAUCCUGGAUUCUGUAUUUUUUGGCAGUAAAUGACCAGUCAGUCUGAAAAGGGCUGCUGUCACAAUUAGAUGUUGAACAAGAAGGACACCUCAGAGCUAGUGAGAACAGGACAAUAGCCAGGAGUUUGGGCCCUCACGUCACCAGUGUGGAGUGGCAAUGUUGUUUUUAGAAUCCAUUGUGACGACACAGAAAGCUAUGUGAGUUCAAUGACUACGCCACCAUGCUCUGUGUUUAGGAUUAGAGACAUGCUCCACUGUCUAUAUUAAAGGAUUAUAAUGUGC